This 660-nucleotide ribosomal RNA is filed under the name uncultured bacterium. Its description in RNAcentral is "bacterial SSU rRNA". It matches the Rfam family "Bacterial small subunit ribosomal RNA", at positions 54 to 717 of the family's 1533-position model. The record is from RNAcentral.
CAUGCAAGUCGAGGGGUAUAGUAGCAAUACUAGAGACCGGCGCACGGGUGCGUAACGCGUAUGCAAUCUACCUUUUACAGUGGGAUAGCCCAAAGAAAUUUGGAUUAAUACCACAUAGUAUAUCAUUUUCGCAUGAAGGAGAUAUUAAAGUCACAACGGUAAAAGAUGAGCAUGCGUCCCAUUAGUUAGUUGGUAAGGUAACGGCUUACCAAGACUACGAUGGGUAGGGGUCCUGAGAGGGAGAUCCCCCACACUGGUACUGAGACACGGACCAAACUCCUACGGGAGGCAGCAGUGAGGAAUAUUGGACAAUGGGCGCAAGCCUGAUCCAGCCAUGCCGCGUGCAGGAUGACGGUCCUAUGGAUUGUAAACUGCUUUUAUACAAAAAAAAACCCUCCGACGUGUCGGAGCUUGACGGUAUCGUAAGAAUAAGGAUCGGCUAACUCCGUGCCAGCAGCCGCGGUAAUACGGAGGAUCCAAGCGUUAUCCGGAAUCAUUGGGUUUAAAGGGUCCGUAGGCGGUUUAGUAAGUCAGUGGUGAAAGCCCAUCGCUCAACGGUGGAACGGCCAUUGAUACUGCUAGACUUGAAUUAUUAGGAAGUAACUAGAAUAUGUAGUGUAGCGGUGAAAUGCUUAGAGAUUACAUGGAAUACCAAUUGCG